RNAcentral lists this small RNA (1257 nucleotides) under Arabidopsis thaliana (thale cress). RNAcentral's name for it is "ATSL273900". Lineage: Eukaryota; Viridiplantae; Streptophyta; Magnoliopsida; Brassicales; Brassicaceae. The record is from RNAcentral.
AGGUGAGAAAAACAAUGAGUUGCUUUUGAAAAACCAUGGACUACGCCCAUCAGGUUCUGCUCCAUUCCCUGAAGCGAAUGUGACAUCCUAUGGUCAAGAAAGUGGUUACAACCAUGGUUGUGGCCGUGGUCAUGGUCGUGGUCGUGGUCGCGGUCGUGGUCGUGGGCGUGGAUACACUGGAGGACGAGGCAAUGGAGUUCACUUUAAGAACUCAAACUCUCACAAGAAGUGGGAAAACAAAGAUGGUAACAAACAAGUGAAAAUACCGUAUGCGAAUAUCUGUUACCGUUGUGGAGCGAAAGAUCACUGGUGUUGGUGUCGGAUCCCGCACCAUGGACUUGGGACCGGUCAAAGAUUGCCACAUAAGCAGGAGAGGCCCAAAAGAAGAGAAGCCCAUAGGAUACCCCGAGUUGAUAGCACAAGCGAGGUUUGACCUGCGAAGUGGAUACGGAAUCAAGGUCAAAGUUACCCGGAGUGAAGUGUCGAAUGGGCCGACAGUUGAAGCCCAAGAAGUUCGGAGUCAAUUCAAAUUCGACGUUUGAAUAGAUAAUUCAAAGACUGAAACGGAUAUAUUUAAGAUAGAAUAAUUUUGUGUAAAUGGGAAUUUAAUGUAUUCUUUGGGUAUAAAUUAUGGGUCAAAGACCAUGUAAAGGGACACGCAUUUUUGGGCAAACACACUAUAGGCAUUUUCCUACAAAGCUCAUAGUUUUCUCGAUAGUCAUCAAUCUAUUUUCUAGUACAUUUGUCCUCAAGAAUAAUCCUUCUCACUAAAUAAAUAAAUACUUGAGUGUGUGAAUCCGACAUCCAUAUUUUGGCGCCGUCUGUGGGGACGGAGGAUUCUUGAGUCGUCAGAUUUUUUCUAUAUAUUACAUUUCCGAAGUGAGCCGUAAUGUCUGGAGAAUAUGCUACCAAGGCUUCAUUAGCCGAAACCCUCAAGACCAUGCAACAAACUAUGGCCGAUAUGGCGCAGAAGUUUUCGAAUGUGAAAAAAACCGUCGAAACACUGCAAACAACCCAUGUAUCACUCAGCCAAAAUGUUAGUACUAUUCAGUCUCGUGUCCGUUCUUUGAAUGCAGGCAAUUCUACUAGAGUUCGGAGAACUAUCUUCGGAUCACCAAACUCCCUUCUGCGAAAUGCAACGAGUGAUCAAACGACCCCAGAUGGUACAAACGCGGAUAACCAACCGGAAGAUGGAGAAACGCACCUCGAAGACGACAACCAGUUCGUCGAUCAACACGAGCAAUAAAACUUCGACCA